Molecule: transfer RNA, 72 nt
Filed under: Dallia pectoralis (Alaska blackfish)
Lineage: Eukaryota; Metazoa; Chordata; Actinopteri; Esociformes; Umbridae
Also listed under: 1 other name
Description: tRNA-Asp
Rfam family: tRNA
About the family: Transfer RNA (tRNA) molecules are approximately 80 nucleotides in length. Their secondary structure includes four short double-helical elements and three loops (D, anti-codon, and T loops).
Source: RNAcentral
UCCUCGUUAGUAUAGUGGUCAGUAUCCCCGCCUGUCACGCGGGAGACCGGGGUUCAAUUCCCUGACGGGGAG